UUUAGUGAAGAUUCAGAUUCAGAGUCUGUGAAGAGUGACCAGUUAAAAGGUGAAGUACCAGACUUCAGUGUGGAAACACCAUCAUCACCUACCAAAAGUGAAACAUCAUUCUCAGAUGUUGUCAGCUCUGUGUCUGUGAAGAGUGACCAAUCAAAAGGUGAUGGACCAAACUUAAGUGACAAAAAACCAUCAUCUGCCAAAAGUCAAAGAUCAGACUCAGAUGUGUUCAGCUCUGUGUCUGUGAAGAGUGACCAAUCAAAAGGUGAUGGGCCAAACUUAAGUGAGAAAAAAUCAACUACCAAAAGUAGGGAAAGAUCAGGCUCAGAUGUGUCCAGCUCUGUGUCUGUGAAGAGUCACCAGUCAAAAGGUGACGGACCCCAAUUUCAGCAAGAA
Cyprinus carpio (common carp) is the source of this 393-nucleotide long non-coding RNA. RefSeq lists it as uncharacterized. The transcript has 4 exons. The record is from RefSeq and is a predicted model, not a curated record. Lineage: Eukaryota; Metazoa; Chordata; Actinopteri; Cypriniformes; Cyprinidae.